RNAcentral lists this transfer-messenger RNA (363 nucleotides) under Salmonella enterica. Its description in RNAcentral is "Standard tmRNA". It matches the Rfam family "transfer-messenger RNA". Rfam says of the family: Bacterial tmRNA, also known as 10Sa RNA or SsrA, is named for its dual tRNA and mRNA-like properties. Its role is to liberate the mRNA from a stalled ribosome. The record is from RNAcentral. Lineage: Bacteria; Pseudomonadati; Pseudomonadota; Gammaproteobacteria; Enterobacterales; Enterobacteriaceae.
GGGGCUGAUUCUGGAUUCGACGGGAUUUGCGAAACCCAAGGUGCAUGCCGAGGGGCGGUUGGCCUCGUAAAAAGCCGCAAAAAAAUAGUCGCAAACGACGAAAACUACGCUUUAGCAGCUUAAUAACCUGCUUAGAGCCCUCUCUCCCUAGCCUCCGCUCUUAGGACGGGGAUCAAGAGAGGUCAAACUCAAAAGAGAUCGCGCGGAUGCCCUGCCUGGGGUUGAAGCGUUAAAACGAAUCAGGCUAGUCUGGUAGUGGCGUGUCCGUCCGCAGGUGCCAGGCGAAUGUAAAGACAGACUAAGCAUGUAGUACCGAGGAUGUAGGAAUUUCGGACGCGGGUUCAACUCCCGCCAGCUCCACCA